AACGAACGCUGGCGGCAUGCCUAACACAUGCAAGUCGAACGAUCCCUUCGGGGAUAGUGGCGCACGGGUGCGUAACGCGUGGGAACCUGCCCUUAGGUUCGGAAUAACUCAGAGAAAUUUGAGCUAAUACCGGAUAAUGUCUUCGGACCAAAGAUUUAUCGCCUUUGGAUGGGCCCGCGUUGGAUUAGCUAGUUGGUGGGGUAAAGGCCUACCAAGGCGACGAUCCAUAGCUGGUCUGAGAGGAUGAUCAGCCACACUGGGACUGAGACACGGCCCAGACUCCUACGGGAGGCAGCAGUGGGGAAUAUUGGACAAUGGGCGAAAGCCUGAUCCAGCAAUGCCGCGUGAGUGAUGAAGGCCUUAGGGUUGUAAGGCUCUUUUACCCGGGAUGAUAAUGACAGUACCGGGAGAAUAAGCCCCGGCUAACUCCGU
Molecule: ribosomal RNA, 432 nt
Filed under: uncultured bacterium
Lineage: Bacteria
Description: partial 16S ribosomal RNA
Rfam family: Bacterial small subunit ribosomal RNA
Source: RNAcentral